CAUACUUGAAAUACCACCCUUGCAAUGUUUUUUGUCUAACACCAUGCUUAAGUGGUGAACCAUGCAUGUGAGGCAGUUUGACUGGGGCGGUCGCCUCCUAAAGUGUAACGGAGGCGUGCGAAGGUAAACUCAAUGAUGAUCGGAAACCAUCUGAAGAGCGUAAUGGUAUAUGUUUGCCUGACUGUGAGAGCCACAACUCGAACAGAGACGAAAGUCGGCCAUAAUGAUCCACAAGUGCCGCGUGGAAGGGCUUGUGCUUAACGAAUCAAAGCUACGCUAGGGAUAACAGGCUAAUAUUACCUAAGAGCCCUUAUCGACGGUAAUGUUUGGCACCUCGAUGUUGACUGAUUCCAUCCUGGAGCUGAAGAAGGUUCCAAGGGUUGGGCUGUUCGCCCAUGAAAGGAGUACCUGAGUUGAGUUUAGAACGUCGUGAGACAGUUUGGAUUCUACCUGGGGUGCGCGUAAUAGAAUUGAGGAAACUAUCCGGAAGUACGAGAGGACCCCAGAUAUAACGCCACUGGUGACGAAUUGUUUGGCCACAAGCAUGUUUGGUAGCUACGCGUUGACAGGAUAAUUGCUGAAAGCAUAUGAAGCAAGAAACUUUUUCCAAGACAAGUUCUUCUAUUAGUGAAGUGACUGGAGUAGCGUUCAAGUCUAGGACGUUGAUCGGCGCAGUGUUUAGUCUCCGUAAGGA
Molecule: ribosomal RNA, 694 nt
Filed under: uncultured Mantoniella
Lineage: Eukaryota; Viridiplantae; Chlorophyta; Mamiellophyceae; Mamiellales
Description: partial Bacterial large subunit ribosomal RNA
Rfam family: Bacterial large subunit ribosomal RNA
Source: RNAcentral